UGUACAACUCAAAUUGGUCAUCAAACUAGAUCGAGUCUGGAUGAUUGAUCCAUCGAUCACAAGCAGCUGCACCCGUGGUAAUAAAUAAAUCUAAGAAAACUGCAGCAGUCGUUCGUUUGUGCCAACUGCGUCACCGAGCGCGUCGUGUUCUUCUACUCCGCCGACGGCGCCAGGCUCUUCUUCGAGUGUGAUGGCGCCGUGCACGGGGUUAGCGCGCUCGCGAGCCUCCACCUAUGUGCCCCGCUUUGCGACGCCUGUGACGCCGAACGUGCCGCUCUCUGCUGCCAAAUCGGCGCCCACCGGGCCAUGCUCUGCGCCGGCCGCCGUGCGCUGCUAGACCGCGGCGGUGGAGCCUCCCCCGUGGAUGCUUACACCAGCGGUUAUGCGCCCGCCGAGAUCGUCUGCAUCCUCUCCGUCGACGCGCCGUCGUCGCAUGAGGACUUCGAUGUCUGGCUCGCCGACAACCUCCCCCAAAUCCUACACGAGGUUCAGGUAUAACAUCUACUUGGGUAAAUUUCUAAAUUGCACUUCUUUUUUGCAACUGUAUAUGCAAUUGAAGGAGACUCUUCUUGAUGAUCUUGCGUGCCAAAUCUUACAUGGACAGUUUGAUUGUGUGAUCCAGCGACAAAAUUCAUUGAGUAGUGCUGCUAUAUAUCAGUCAAGGGAAUGGUAUAGAGAAGAGAGGAUGAUGAUAAUACAAAGUGGGUGAGAUAGUAUGAGUGAGUAGUGAAGGGGCAUAGGCUUGGUACUACACCAUCGUACAAACAAGGAAGUGGUUAGUGUGCUAUCUUUGAUGUAAAAGAGGAAGAUUUCUUUCCUGACUCAUCUAAUGGUGGAUCGAUGAUUUAAGAAGCAUAUUCAGUUCUUCUCUCAAUUUUUUGGUGCCAAGCUUGAUCUUUAUCCAACUGACUGACUGACUAAAAGUACCUUCUAAUCACUAUUGAACGCAUAUAUUAGUUAGUUUGACUGUAUACACCACAUAAAGAGAAAAAAAUGAAUUCUAAAAAAGUUAGGCAUAGAUACUACAGAACCAGUGGACCCUCAAGAAACAAAAGGCACACCUGAAGGAUUUUUUCUUAAAAAUGUAUUAAUUUGACUAUUUGAGUAUGCAAAAUGUGCAAUUUCAAUCUUUCCUUUUCGAGGAGAACAGGGGACUGCUACAUACCCAAUAUGGAUGGAGGCUAAUUACUGAUCUUCCAAGUUAAAAAUCUGAAAAUAACUUCAUUUAGUAAUGGAUAUAUGGUCAAGAAAGGAUGCCUUUCCUUAAAGAUACAGAACAAAAUCAUGUUCGUGUAUGUCCGGCUGACAGAUGAAUCAAUCUCCUUUUAAGUUUCAAACCAGCAACCUUUGUGUACGUACAUGUGUUAUCAAGGAUGCACGGAUCCAUUGGCCUGCGUACCACACAUCCCCUCACUAAUUCUAUCAGUGUCAUUCUUAACAAGGUAAGUAUGAUUGCCUAAUCUCUGAUUUUCUUAAUUGAUCUUUGGUCCUUGAUCCCUAAUGUCGUUAUAUUUUAUUGAUUUUAUAAAUGACCUCAAACAGGAACAUACCAUUUUUUAGGCUACAGUUCCUAUAACUUGCCUUGUCAAUUUAAUAAAAUUACAUGUGUGAUGGAGGUUGUAACUUAUUACGGUUUACAUUGUCAAAAUUCUUCAAACCCUAUGUCGAUCCUCACUAUCUUUGAAACAAUCUGAUUUCUGUGUCAUUGCUAAACAUAUGUUUGGUGUGCUGGAUUUUCUGAUGUAAGAGGAAGCUAUUCGACAAUCCUGCUCAAGUUGGUAUAGAUUAGAUCGAUUUUAUUCAGUAAAUAUUUAUGCUUGAUAGAUGAAAGCCUCCCUCUUCUGCCCUUCUUUUCUCCAUCCUCUGUAGGUCGCAAGCACAUGUGAAUCGUUGUCGUCAAGAGCAUGCUUGUGACAUCAUUACUAUACGUGAUGCAUCGCAAAAGGACGUUGUCAGGAGUUAAGUGUUCAAGCGCAAUCUCUAGCCAAGUUCCCUUUGUUGUUGUGUUGAAUUUUGGGGAAAGGCGGCCAAGCAGCUCGUGGCAUCUGUGUCGCGCCUGCUCCGCCGCUACCUUGACUCGCCGACAACGUCGCCCGUUGGGCUGCAGGGGUGCAAGACGACCAUGGGGCCCAUUGCAUGGGUGCUGAGUAUGCUUGAUUUCCAUGUCGGAGACGAAGGCCCUAGAGCUUGGUGGCUUGUGUGUGAUGUUUUUUUCCUCCCAUUGCAACACAUCGAUUGAUUUAUUCAUGCAUCCAUCGAUUUACUCUGAAUUGUUUUCAGUCGUCAAACAUUAACUGGAUUGACUCGUGGAUACGCAUUGUGACAAGUCGUGUGAGAUGAAGGUGGUGAACCAUCUCAAUAUGAAGCCAAGUAUGGUGGAUUUGCCAUGGAUGAUGGUAGACCGGUAAGGUUUAAAGUUUGAAUUGUCAAAUUUUGUGUCACCGAGCUCCUGGACGGUCAAACCUAUAAAGUUCAGUUAAGAUUCAGACUACAUAUGGAUUCCUUUUUGUUGCCGACAAUGCUAGAAUCACGCUAACUAUGUGCAUGGAGUGUACUAGAGAUGAUGCAAAAAUUGCUUGCAGAUAGGCGGCUGGGUGCAUGAAUAAUUGUCAAGGUGGCCAAAGCUAGCGCUAUUUUUGUUGGACUAAAGGAAUUGUAUAAGGUAUUUCGAGGCUCCCUGGUGGUGGAGAUCGACUACGCAGUGGGGAAAUGAGCUAGGGGUUGAUUUUGUAAGCAGAUCAUUAUCCUACCCAAUUAUUGUUGAUAUUAAAUCUGCCGAAGCUCACAGAGACCUUAUGGUUGCGGAUGGUGUCGCGGACCAAUUACAUGCUCUGCUCUGGAAGGAAAAUGAUGCAGCCUUGACGUCGGCCUAAGUCUUGAUGUUUGAUUGGUGAAGCUACAUUCAGCAAAGAAGAUAUGUUUAUUUGUGGGAAUUAAUUUUCGCAGGGAAUAUCCAUCCAUCCAUGCACAAGACUGACAAUAUCAUUCUUUAACAAUGUGCACUUGACCUCUACUCUGUCGUGCGUAGAGAUAAGGCUGGGACAUCUAUUGUUUUUUGUACAAUCUUACACUGUAAAAUAAUUUUUGGUACCAAACAUGUUAACAAGGGCGCAAGUUUUUUCAUACAUAAUUUCAGAAGUACUCCAUCCGUUUGUAAAUAUGUGACAUUUUGGUAGUCUACAUAGGGAGUACUAUAAAAAAUUGGCUGAUUUCCCUAAUAAGUAAAUAAUGGCUAAAGUUUUUUGGAACAUUUAUUUCUGAGCUAUGGAGGAUAAACAAAUAUUAUUCAUGGUAUAUUGUAAUGAUUUACCGGUAAAACGUUACAUGAUAAAAAUAUUGCACCACUACAAUAUCUAUGCCACUAGCCUGA
Long non-coding RNA from Triticum aestivum (bread wheat), 3370 nucleotides. RefSeq lists it as uncharacterized. The record is from RefSeq and is a predicted model, not a curated record. The transcript has 3 exons. Lineage: Eukaryota; Viridiplantae; Streptophyta; Magnoliopsida; Poales; Poaceae.